Molecule: non-coding RNA, 22 nt
Filed under: Mus musculus (house mouse)
Lineage: Eukaryota; Metazoa; Chordata; Mammalia; Rodentia; Muridae
Source: RNAcentral
UACCUACCGGCUGCUGAUCCCA